This 114-nucleotide ribosomal RNA is filed under the name Salvator merianae (Argentine black and white tegu). The record is from RNAcentral. Lineage: Eukaryota; Metazoa; Chordata; Lepidosauria; Squamata; Teiidae.
UUUGCUGACCUUGAGGCUGCCCUUUAUCUUCUGUGACCCCACAAGCUUAAGCAGGGUCAGGCCUGGUCAGUACUUGGAAUGGAGACUGCCAGAUAAUAGCAGGUGUCUCCAGAC